Molecule: transfer RNA, 89 nt
Filed under: Gracilaria edulis
Lineage: Eukaryota; Rhodophyta; Florideophyceae; Gracilariales; Gracilariaceae
Description: tRNA-Leu
Rfam family: tRNA
About the family: Transfer RNA (tRNA) molecules are approximately 80 nucleotides in length.
Source: RNAcentral
GCUCGCUUGGUGAAAUUUGGUAAACACGAUGGAUUUAAAAUUCAUUCUCAUUUUUAUUAGAGUUACUGGUUCAAGUCCAGUAGCGAGUA